Molecule: ribosomal RNA, 711 nt
Filed under: Triticum aestivum (bread wheat)
Lineage: Eukaryota; Viridiplantae; Streptophyta; Magnoliopsida; Poales; Poaceae
Description: partial small subunit ribosomal RNA
Source: RNAcentral
AUGUACGUGUGUGUAGGACUCAAGUACGGGCUGAAAGUGUGUUGCGGCACCGGUGGGCAUGGGUCGUACAACUACAACAACGGGAACAUUCGUGGUUGUUUGGGGCCUUUCAUGAGUGUGAGAGAUGAAUGCACUCUAGCUGAUGCCAGCUACGAUCGACGCCCAUACUGGAGCCGGAGUACAAGAGGAAAAAAGAAAAAGAGAAGCCCAACAGCAGCCAGCCGGCCCAAGGCCCAAAGCUCGUCCUGGCUUAAAACCCUAGCCCCACUCUCGUUCGACCCCCUCGUCCUCCCUCAGCGCCGUCACAGAGACAGGGGCAGGCGCCCUCCUCUGCUUCCCCCGAUGCCCAUCGCCUGCCCGCUCUGCACCGCUGAAUCCUCCCCGCCGGCAGAUUGUGAGGUUGAACUUCUUUACCGGCCUGUAAAUGUGCCCGUGCGUUUCAACGGGUUCACUGCAGAGCAAACACUUAGUCCUUCUCAUGACACAUCUCUACUUAUGUGGUAUACUGAAAGUCCAAUCCUCUAUCUGCAUUCUAGCUUGAGCGUGGAUGUGACAUUGCAGAAACAUGAUGGAUCUGCUACGUGGAUAACAAGACAUGUUACUGCAAAAAAGAAAUCGAGGAUCCCCAUAUCCAAAUUGCAGAUCCCCAUUUGGUCAGGUCUUUACCUAAAGAAGCAACAUCCACAGAGGAAGCUUUCAGUGACUGGCUAA